AGAGUUUGAUCAUGGCUCAGAACGAACGCUGGCGGCAUGCCUAACACAUGCAAGUCGAACGAGGGCUUCGGCCCUAGUGGCGCACGGGUGAGUAACGCGUGGGAACCUGCCCUGUGGUACGGAAUAACUCCGGGAAACUGGAGCUAAUACCGUAUGUGUCCUGCGGGACAAAGAUUUAUCGCCAUGGGAUGGGCCCGCGUAGGAUUAGCUUGUUGGUGGGGUAACGGCCUACCAAGGCAACGAUCCUUAGCUGGUCUGAGAGGAUGAUCAGCCACACUGGGACUGAGACACGGCCCAGACUCCUACGGGAGGCAGCAGUGGGGAAUAUUGGACAAUGGGCGCAAGCCUGAUCCAGCAAUGCCGCGUGAGUGAUGAAGGCCUUCGGGUUGUAAAGCUCUUUCGCACGCGACGAUGAUGACGGUAGCGUGAGAAGAAGCCCCGGCUAACUUCGUGCCAGCAGCCGCGGUAAUACGAAGGGGGCUAGCGUUGUUCGGAAUUACUGGGCGUAAAGGGCGCGUAGGCGGUACUUCAAGUCAGGCGUGAAAGCCCCGGGCUCAACCUGGGAACCGCGCUUGAGACUGGAGAACUAGAGUUCGGGAGAGGAUGGUGGAAUUCCCAGUGUAGAGGUGAAAUUCGUAGAUAUUGGGAAGAACACCGAUGGCGAAGGCAGCCAUCUGGACCGACACUGACGCUGAGGCGCGAAAGCGUGGGGAGCAAACAGGAUUAGAUACCCUAGUAGUCC
Molecule: ribosomal RNA, 742 nt
Filed under: uncultured bacterium
Lineage: Bacteria
Description: bacterial SSU rRNA
Rfam family: Bacterial small subunit ribosomal RNA
Source: RNAcentral